Molecule: long non-coding RNA, 394 nt
Organism: Sinocyclocheilus anshuiensis
Lineage: Eukaryota; Metazoa; Chordata; Actinopteri; Cypriniformes; Cyprinidae
Exons: 5
Source: RefSeq, a predicted model, not a curated record
UUCACCGCGAGCGCCGUCGUAGCUGGCAUUUUAUUUUAUGAAGAAUUUUAUGGUUUAUCUUUGAUAUACAUCAUCAUGUUUGUGAUCGGGUGUCUGCUGGCGUUUACUGGAGUGUUUCUAAUCGCGAGAGCUCGUCCCAGAAUCAAGAUGGACCGCGUGUUCAUUUCAAUGGGCCAGAUUCCAGGCAAAAGCUGUACGGAUAAAGUGCAGCCGCAAUCAGACGACAGUAAAUAUGGAAAACUGGCGUCUAAACUCACGUGUAACAGCGGGAUUCAGGACGAGCCGUAGACGGAGUGCCCCCUGCAGGAGGAACAGAGAACCACACUAACACUCGUGUGUGUGUGUGUGUGUGUGUGUGUGUGUGUGUGAGAGAGUGUGUGUGUGUGUGUGAGAG